Molecule: ribosomal RNA, 254 nt
Filed under: uncultured bacterium
Lineage: Bacteria
Description: partial 16S ribosomal RNA
Rfam family: Bacterial small subunit ribosomal RNA
Source: RNAcentral
UACGGGGGGGGGCAAGCGUUGUUCGGAAUUACUGGGCGUAAAGGGUUCGUAGGCGGCCAACUAAGUCGGACGUGAAAUCCCUCAGCUUAACUGGGGAACUGCGUCGGAUACUGGAUGGCUUGAAUUCGGGAGAGGGAUGCAGAAUUCCAGGUGUAGCGGUGAAAUGCGUAGAUAUCUGGAGGAAUACCGGUGGCGAAGGCGGCAUCCUGGACCGACAUUGACGCUGAACGGCGAAAGCUAGGGGAGCAAACGGG